CGGACGGGUGAGUAACGCGUGGGUAACCUGCCUUAUACAGGGGGAUAACAGUUAGAAAUGGCUGCUAAUACCGCAUAAGCGCACAGAGCUGCAUGGCUCGGUGUGAAAAACUCCGGUGGUAUAAGAUGGACCCGCGUUGGAUUAGCUUGUUGGUGGGGUAACGGCCUACCAAGGCGACGAUCCAUAGCCGGCCUGAGAGGGUGAACGGCCACAUUGGGACUGAGACACGGCCCAG
This 235-nucleotide ribosomal RNA is filed under the name uncultured bacterium. RNAcentral's name for it is "partial 16S ribosomal RNA". It matches the Rfam family "Bacterial small subunit ribosomal RNA", at positions 99 to 334 of the family's 1533-position model. The record is from RNAcentral.